This 56-nucleotide transfer RNA is filed under the name Radopholus similis. RNAcentral's name for it is "transfer RNA-Tyr". Lineage: Eukaryota; Metazoa; Nematoda; Chromadorea; Rhabditida; Pratylenchidae. The record is from RNAcentral.
GGGUUUUUAGUUUAAUUUUUAAAAUAUUAGUUUGUAAAACUAAGGUUUUUAACCUU